CCUACGGGAGGCAGCAGUGAGGAAUAUUGGUCAAUGGACGAGAGUCUGAACCAGCCAAGUAGCGUGAAGGAUGACUGCCCUAUGGGUUGUAAACUUCUUUUAUAAAGGAAUAAAACGAGGCACGUGUGCCUUUUUGCAUGUACUUUAUGAAUAAGGAUCGGCUAACUCCGUGCCAGCAGCCGCGGUAAUACGGAGGAUCCGAGCGUUAUCCGGAUUUAUUGGGUUUAAAGGGAGCGUAGAUGGGUUGUUAAGUCAGUUGUGAAAGUUUGCGGCUCAACCGUAAAAUUGCAAUUGAUACUGGCAGUCUUGAGUACAGUUGAGGUAAGCGGAAUUCGUGGUGUAGCGGUGAAAGGCUUAGAUAUCACGAAGAACCCCGAUUGCGAAGGCAGCUUACUAAACUGUGACUGACAUUGAUGCUCGAAAGUGUGGGUAUCAAACAGGAUUAGAUACCCUGGUAGUC
RNAcentral lists this ribosomal RNA (460 nucleotides) under uncultured bacterium. Its description in RNAcentral is "partial 16S ribosomal RNA". It matches the Rfam family "Bacterial small subunit ribosomal RNA", at positions 338 to 795 of the family's 1533-position model. The record is from RNAcentral.